RNAcentral lists this unclassified non-coding RNA (544 nucleotides) under Hevea brasiliensis (rubber tree). Lineage: Eukaryota; Viridiplantae; Streptophyta; Magnoliopsida; Malpighiales; Euphorbiaceae. The record is from RNAcentral.
GGAAGAAGUAAAAGCUUAGGAGGUCUUCUUUGCAAUGACGUGAUUCCAACUGUAUCACUUUAGUGUAUGUGAACUCUGUUAACUUCAUCCAUGAUAGAAAAGUAAUGCGAUGACUGGUUAGAAUGACUUCCCUUCCACCAUUUGCUUCAACGGGGAAUUACUUGAUGAAGAUGACCGUUUAUUGGAGCAAAAGAAUCAUCGAGGCACCUCCAAAAUUUAUAUAUCACAGUAGUAUCUGAUGUCCACAAGACACAGUAGAGAAGAGUCGGAGUGUUUAGUUGUGUCACUUGAGAUAUCACGUUCAUGUGUGCACUCUCAAUGUUGAAGGUAAACAAUAUAGUUGCGAUUGUUGUUGCCGCUAAAGCCCUUUUCUUGUUGCAGUGAGUUAUCCGGUAAGGCUGUAAUAGAUUAGCAGGUAUCUUGUAAAAUUAGUUAAGGCGUGCAUAAGAUGAUUGAGACAUCGUAAUUAUCUACUUAAACACAAGGUGAUUUUCUUCAUCUAUAAAGUUACCCUGUACUUGUGUUACAUCGGUGAAACGAAGCA